GUCCAGCUGACGAGUCCCGAAUAGGACGGAACCGCGUGUCCUGGAU
Schistosoma mansoni is the source of this 46-nucleotide non-coding RNA. Lineage: Eukaryota; Metazoa; Platyhelminthes; Trematoda; Strigeidida; Schistosomatidae. The record is from Rfam.